RNAcentral lists this long non-coding RNA (567 nucleotides) under Equus caballus (horse). Its description in RNAcentral is "lncRNA (ENSECAG00000041219.2)". The record is from RNAcentral. Lineage: Eukaryota; Metazoa; Chordata; Mammalia; Perissodactyla; Equidae.
UUAUCCUAAUCUUUUUUUUUUUCUUCCACAUGAAUUAACUUUUGAAAAGUUGGAAAGAAACAUGAGGUGUUUUUUUUUUUUUUUAGGGAACAUUCUUAACAAAAGGGUAUAAAAUUCAACUGGGUUUGACCUUUUGAGUUUAGCAGAUUUUCCACCUGGUCUGAGCUGGAGGAAAUGGGCUUCGCAGCGGGAAGGCUGCUUCUCCGGCUGUGGAAAGCGCUCCUGCGUCCGUUCUCGAGGCGGUGCGCUUCUUGGCUGAGCCAUGCUGAAUCUCACACGUGGGUGGACACAUCUAUCUUGAGUUUCAUCCACUCGGGGCCAACUUCUUUCUGGCACGAAGGGUGCAAGCUUGGAGCACAGACCCAGCCACCGGAUAUUUCAAAUGAUUUGAUGCUGGGGCCUCCUAUGGUCAGAAGAUGGGGAUCCUUCAAUUGGAGUCAUCGCCCAUCCGCUCACGAGGGUGUUGGGGAAUUCUGGCAGCCUGCCUUUGAAUCCUGGCUCCAUCACUGAGUGACAGACUUUGGGCAAAUCAUAGAACCUCUCUUAGCCUCAGUCCCCUCAGGUGUA